This 414-nucleotide long non-coding RNA is filed under the name Mytilus galloprovincialis (Mediterranean mussel). Lineage: Eukaryota; Metazoa; Mollusca; Bivalvia; Mytilida; Mytilidae. The record is from RNAcentral.
UUUUUUUUUUAUCCAAGUGUGAAAGUACUUGUUUGCAUAUGGACUGUUGUUUUCUGUUUUUCGCCAUGAUCAUGAUGCUUGUGUCAAUCCCUGUUCGACUUAUGAGUGUUGUUCAUCAUCCUUUAUUGAGGAUCUGGUUUACAGAAUAGAGAAUAAUUGACAAAAAAGUAGAGAUAAGGGAUAAAAAAAGGUAAUGUACAUAAAACAGGCUUCAAAGAAAAGAAAAGAGUAAAAAACAACUGAUGAAGAAAAAGGGCCAAAAACAAAUAGAAUUUAGUAAAAUAGGCAAAAAAAAUAAAAGAAUAGGUAAUAAUGGCCAACAAUGGGCAAAAAGUUUUAAAAAGAAAGAGAGAGAGAUGACAAUUCUUUUUUAAAAGGUAAAAGAUUGGAGAAUAAUCCAGCACAGAAAUAUAA